This 253-nucleotide ribosomal RNA is filed under the name uncultured bacterium. RNAcentral's name for it is "partial 16S ribosomal RNA". It matches the Rfam family "Bacterial small subunit ribosomal RNA", at positions 524 to 776 of the family's 1533-position model. The record is from RNAcentral.
UACGAAGGGGGCUAGCGUUGCUCGGAAUCACUGGGCGUAAAGCGCACGUAGGCGGCUUUUUAAGUCAGGGGUGAAAUCCUGGAGCUCAACUCCAGAACUGCCUUUGAUACUGAGAAGCUUGAGUCCGGGAGAGGUGGGUGGAACUGCGAGUGUAGAGGUGAAAUUCGUAGAUAUUCGCAAGAACACCAGUGGCGAAGGCGGCUCACUGGCCCGGUACUGACGCUGAGGUGCGAAAGCGUGGGGAGCAAACAGG